RNAcentral lists this microRNA (23 nucleotides) under Macaca mulatta (Rhesus monkey). Its description in RNAcentral is "mml-miR-519b". Its record names the gene mml-miR-519b. Lineage: Eukaryota; Metazoa; Chordata; Mammalia; Primates; Cercopithecidae. The record is from miRBase by way of RNAcentral.
AACGUGCAUCCCUUUAGAGGGUU